This 7898-nucleotide long non-coding RNA is filed under the name Homo sapiens (human). RNAcentral's name for it is "HSALNT0317194". The record is from RNAcentral. Lineage: Eukaryota; Metazoa; Chordata; Mammalia; Primates; Hominidae.
AGAGCACUCCUAACCCCCCGGGGCAAGGAGGGGAGGCCAGGCAGCCGGAAGGAAACUCCUGAGCUUUUUACGGAAUGCACAAGACAAAAGGUGAGGGUCUCCACGUAGGGAAAGAACGCAUUAUUAUUUACGGCCUUGGUCUGGAGAGGAGAACAUGCUGCUCUUUGCAGCCCGGCGUGUGAUUCAUUUCCCCCGGGAGCUGCAGGGCCGAGGCAGGGCGUGCGCUCCGGCAGCCUCCAGACAGCCGCGCACUCCCGCCCGCUCGUUUAUUUAUGGUGCUUUAUCAGCGGCUGUGCACCGCGGCGAUAAAGUUUAUGAAAAGAGGCGGCGUCUCCGGCCGGCGGGCUGGGCCCGGCGCUCCUUUCCCACACUGAUUAGGAUCAGCCAGGGCUUUGGAAGCUGCAGUUAAGGAUCUCGGGUGCCCGGAGCCUCGGCUCCCCCUUCCUGCCCCGCCCGCGGGCUGGCCGGCUGCUGGCCCGCGUGGGAGGCGAGGUCAGGGCUGCGGCCGCGGCCCUUCCCCUGGGAGCGGGAGGGAGGAGGGAGGAGGAGGAGAGAAGCCGCCCUGCGGGGGAGGGAGCUCCAAGGCCCCGGGAAGUGGGACAGCCAGAGAAAAAUACCGUCCAAAUAUAAAUGGGCAAGUCCCCACGUUAAGAGAUGAACGAGAAUUUUUUAUUUUUUGAGACAGAGUCUCGCUCUGUUGUCCGGGUUGGAGUGCAGUGGUGAGAUCUUGGCUCACUGCAACCUCCGCCUCCGGGGUUCAAGGGAUUCUCCAGCGUCAGCCUCCCGAGUAGCUGGGAUUACAAGCGCCUGCCACCAGGCCUGGCUAAUUUUUGUAUUUUUAGUAGAGAUGGGGUUUCACCAUGUUGGUCAGGCUGGUCUCGAACUCCUGACCUCAGGUGAUCCACCCAACUCGGCCUCCCAAAGUGCUGAGAUUACAGGCGGAACAGGAAUUUAAUAGGAAUUUUUCUCCUCUGAAGGCGGUGCACCGUCUCCUCUCCCCCAUUUACUUUCCUACAUUCCUUUCUCCUUUCCCGUCAUUUCACCUGCAUUUACUGUGUCUUUGCAUUAAGGCUUGAUUCAUUUUGUCCCUUUUCAUAGCCAUGUUUUGUUCAGUCCUUCAGAAGAUAGAAAUUGAACACCUGACUUGUGGACAGCACCUCUAAACACUGCAGAGAGAGAUUCAGAGAUGAAUAGCCCUGGCCCUUAGGGUUCUUGCGGUCACAAGCACCGUCCAGUAAGAGCAGCCCAUGGUUAUGAGUAACAAGAGCAGACACUACGGCAGGCACUUGGUUUAGGGACAUUGCCUUGUUUCAUCCUCACGGUGACUUCAGGAGGACAGUGCCAUCGUUACGCCGUUUAACAGAUGGUAAAACUGAGGCCCAGAGAGGGGAGUGCCUUGCUUCAGAUGACUCAGCAACGCAGUGGCUGAGCAAGGAUUUGAACUCAGGCAGAAUGGUGGCAGAGCCUGUUUGCCUAACUUCUAAAUUUCCCUAACUCUCUAGAACAGAGGGUAGUAGGAGUGCAGCAGACAGGACAACUAACCCUGCCUGGAAAAGUCAUGGUGGGCUUCCCGGAGGAGGCGUCCUUAGGCUGGGGCUUGAAGACGAGGUAUUUACCAGACAAAUAGUGGAGAAGAAGGCUGUCUUAAACAGAAAAAACUUCUUAUGUGGUCCUGGGUUCUGAGGGCCCAGCUCUUCUCACCCUCCUUCUCCGAGGAGUGGGGGAACGGAAGUGCAGAGCCUUCGUGUUUUACCCUCCUUCUCCGAGGAGUGGGGAACGGAAGUGCAGAGCCUUUAUGUUUUGUGACAGUGGAAUCCCCUUCGCGGGCCACCUCCUCGAUCUGAAAGGCUCUAUCUGCAGCUACUGAAUUCCCUUCAGCUCGUAAGUCUUAAUAGCAAUGUCAUCCCCUUCUGAAAACUUUCCUGGACUGCUCCUUAUCUUGCUGCCGGUGAUUGAAAGCAAUCCUUUCCUCUCUCUUCCCUCACACCUGCCUGUUUGCAUUAAAGUUCUUGAGUUGGACUCCAUCAGUCUUUAUUUUUUAUUUGUUUAAUUUAUUUUUUAGAGACAGGGUCUCACAAUGUCACCCAGGCUGGAGAGCCGUGGCAUGAUAAUGGCUUACUGCAGCCUCAUCCUCCUGGCCUCAAGCAAUCCUCCUGCCUCAGCCUGCCAAGUAACUAGGACUACAGGUGUGUGCCACCAUGCCUGGCUAAUUUUAUUUUAUUUUUUUGAGACAGAGUCUUGCUCUGUAGCCCAGUCUGGAGUGCAAUGGCGUCAUCUCGGCUCACUGCAAGCUCCGCCUCCUGGGUUCAAGCGAUUCUCCUGUCUCAGCCUCCAGAGUAGCUGGGAUUACAGGCGUGUGCCACCAUGCCCAGCUAAUUUUUGUAUUUUUAGUAGAGAGGGGGUUUCACCAUGUUGGCCAGGCUGGUCUCGAACUCCUGACCUCAGGUGAUCUGCCUUCCUCAGCCUCCCAAACUGUUGGGAUUACAGGCGUGAGCCGCUGCACCUGGCCUCUGGCUAAUUUAAAAAAAUUUUUUGGCCAGACACGGUGGCUUCCAUCUUUAAUACCGGCACUUCAGGAGGCCAAGGCAGGAGAUUUGCUUGAGCCCAGUAGUUUGAGACCAGUCUGGGCAACAUAAGAAGACCCCCAUCUCUACAAAAAAAAAAAUAAAUAAAAAAAAAAAAAAUAAGCCAGGCAUGGUGGCGCUCGUCUGUGGUCCCAGCUAAUACGGAGGUUAAGGUGCAAGGAUUGCAUGAGCCUGGGAGGUCAAGGCUGCAGUGAACUCUGAUCACAUUCCAGCCUGUGACUGUACUCCAGCCUGAGUGACAGAGCAAGACCCUGUCUCAAAAUAAAUAAAUACAUACAUACAUAAAUAAAUAAGUUUAAUUUAAAAAUAAAUUUAUUUCUGUAGAGAUGGGUCUCACUCUUUUGCCCAGGCUGGUCUUGAACUCCUGGCCUCAAGUGAUUCUCCCAAGUUGACCCCCCAAAGUGCUGGAAUUAUAGGCAUAAGCCACUGCACCCAGCCCAUUAGUGUUUAUUACUAGACUGUGAGUUCCUGGAGAGCACUGGUAUACUCAUUUGCUUCUUACUUGCUUCUGCCCAGGCUGGUUUAGUAUCCUACUCAUAGAAGGUUCUUAGUAACCGCAUUUGGUGAAUAAAUGGAGGAGAGUGGGAAGGCUGUGAUCGAAUAGGUAUCUCUUGUCUCCUCUUUACCCCUUGAUAAAUUUCACAAUCAAGCAAGCUAAAAAUGGAGAUGUGUGUCUCCACCAGACAAGGUCUGGACCACUCUCUGCCAAGACAGCACGAAGAGCAGGACACUGCCAGCAACCAGGUGGGUUGAGACAGAGUAACCCAAGCUGCUAGCCCGUCAAAUCUCUCCAGACUGGGAACAGGAUUAGUCCUGGGGCUUGGGUCUAGCAUUGAGUCAACAAGCGGAAGUCAUGUUGCCCUAGUUAUUGGGGAGAGGGCUGUGAGGGCCAGGAACCAGGCAGGUCACUGCAUAGUCCAUCUUGAAUUCAGUGAGGCAUUCCAUAGGGCCAAUGACACAGGAGACAUUUGACACCAUAGGGUAUAAUAUCAACUCUAGGCAGCCGUCAGGGCCAGUGCCCAGGGGAUCAGGGCUGUGUCUUUUUCUUUGUUAUUUUUUGUUUGUUUGUUUAGAGCUAGUUUUUAAAAAGUUUAAUUGAAAAAGUAAUACAUGCACAUGAUCUAAAAAUUAAAAUGAUUCAAAAACGUAUACAGUGAACGUUCUGCCUCCCACCAUCAACUUCUCAACUCAUCUCCUUCCGCAGGUGCAGCCGUCAUUAAAAGUUUCUUUUCCCAGAGAUGCUACAUGCAUGCAUAUGCAAUAUUUCUAUUUUUUCUUAUGAUGACUUAAUGAGGCUGUUGUGAACUGAAUACAGUUGCAGGUGUUGAUGACAUUGUUACAGUUGUUGGCACUCUGGAAAAGGGAUAUAAGGCCCAUUGAACUUGAGAACUAGAAGACUACUCUUGCACAUUCUGAAUGACAUUCAGUAAUUAAAAGUGUGGAGUAAUAAAAUUUGGAUAUCUCAAAUAUUACCUGGAAAAAGGCUAGUCUGACUCAAGGGUGGUGGAAAAAUGAUCUAAGGAUGCACGGUUAGUCACAAAUGAUAUAGGAAAUGUUAGGCCAUUGUAGUAAGUGCCAGUACACUGUCAAGAUGGAUGGUAAGGAGCAUAACUGAUAGAGAUCUGGAAAUUAUUUGUUGGGUCGAUUCUUGUUAAAGUAUUCGUAAAUGUCCGACUUGUUGGUUACUGUGUGUACACUGGUAGAGACAAAUAAGGUAACUUCUAGUUGAACAGAGGACCAAAAUGCACUCAUAUAAUGGCGAAAUAAAGGGUGCGUUUAAUAAACCAGUUGAUGGAACGAGCAUCAUUCAAUCUAGGGAAGAAAAGGCUAAGAGAUGACUCACUUAUUGAAGUACAUGGUAAAGUAACUUGAGUUUCCCCAGGCCUCACCACCUGAGUAGGGAUGAUCUUCUGAGGGGCACUGUACCCGGAGCCUGCCCGCAGCAAAGGACUCCCAGCUGUCUGGACUGCCUCUGGGUUGUCCUGGGAGUUCCCAGGGGCCUGCUCCUGCCGGGCACCCUCUGGCACCCUGGAGUGAAAGCUCUGGGGAAUCUGGGGGGAAAAAAAAGAUUAUUCAACCCUCUUCCCUCUGUGUGAGCUUUCAGUCCCAAAGCUCUACCAUCUGUGCUCUGAUUUCCUGAAAGACCUCAGCAAGAUGGUCUUUCCCAAUUUCCCUUUUGGUCCUGCUGCUCUUCACAGAACUCGGAUAUGUCUGGCCGAGGGACGCUCAGAAUGAACUGCUCUUCCCCUCCAAAGAGCAGGACUGUUUGACUGGGGUAGGGCCUGGCGGGUCUCCUUCCCUACAGAGCGAGUCCCUCCCCACCCCCGGAGGCUUCUUGGCCUUGGUUCACACUGGGACCUAGGUUCCCUCUAAUCGUAACUAGCGAGUAUUCAGUUGUUUUGAAAAAAUAUUCUAAUCGAUUGUUCUAUAAGGAAGGUCAACCAAGAGGCCAUGGAUAUAAACAAUAACAGGGAAGAUUUAGUGAGUGGAAAGGAGGGACGAUGUUAAGGAAAGUUACUCCUGUGCCCUGAGGGAAAGUGCACGGUCUUUCUUGAAUAGUUUAGAAAUAGGUCCUGGAGCUUUUCAAGCUCAGCCCUUGGUAUUCUGAGGUGGACUGAGGCGUUCCACCUUGAAAAUCAAAUAGUAGUGGUCUUUUCCCUAACUCAGGUAAUAUAAUUUUUCCAUGUAAAUUUUUUCCAUGCAUGUUCUUCCAUUUUAAACCUUUAGCACCUGCAGGCAACAAAACUAAUGAAGAAGUAGUAAACAGAUAUGAAUGGGAAAGCUUGAAAACCACCAAUCAUGCUGAGUUUGUGGCUUUUUUUUUUUUAAAGAACAUGUGUGCUUGUGGUUUUAUACUGUCUGCUCAUAAUGCAGCCAUAUUUUCUGCUAUUAAAAUUGUUCUUAGUUCAUGGGAUGGAAUGAAGCAGACCAUUAUUCCAGGGUGUUCCCGGAAGAGCCUCAGGUUUCAGGAAGCACACUUCGACUUUUAGUUCUCCACCACCUGAGUACACUUGAGUGCUGCUGUUGUAGACUCUGGAGUAUUCGUUUCCUUUCCUUUCCCUCCUCCCUCUGCUGUUCAUAUCAUGGCCCAGAUUGACUCCCAACCUCUGCCAGGCUAAAGAUAACCUCUCCAACUGGGCGAUUACCCACAGGCUAAAUAUAUUCUCAGGGGUGAGUUGGGGCUACCCUGACAGUGACUCCAGGCAAGCAUUUAACCACUCAUGGCAUUAAGUCAUCUUAGGAGAUGGAAGGAGCUUGGGAGGGGGGAGGGAUUACCACAGAAGGAUGGGGAGGGGUAGGAAUGAAAGAGGCAGAGAGCGAUGGAUAGGAAGCUGGCAAAGGCGCUUCCGAUAAAGGAGGACACGCUGUGCCACAUGGUGACUCCAGCAGAAGCUCAGUCAGUCUGCGGAUUUGGCUGCUCCUAGCAAAGACUCCUUUUCUGUCCGUUACAAUGUUACUUUAAUAGAACUCCCAGAGGGAAAAGCCCAGUGCUAAUCAGGGCUCAAGAAGUCAGUGGACUUGAUGUACAGAAUGGGGUGUUUAAUUUUAUGAUGUGGCUAUGGGUUACAUGAGAGACUAAUAAAAGAACUCCAUAAAAUGUGGCUUGCAGGAACGGGGCUGCAGCCUCUGCCAGAAGGUCAGCCUGCUCAGAAGUGGUUGGAGAGCCAGGCUGAUUUCUAGCUGGUGUGGCCACUCUGGCUCUUCAACUGUUGAAAGCCUUCUGAACCGGUUGGUAACUGGCUGCUGCUCUUAGCUUCUCAAGCACAGCCCUGCUGCACUGGCUGCCCGGCCCCCACCCUGGAACCUCCCCACAAUCCAGUAAGCAGAUGCAGAGGACCUGCAGAUCCUGCUCUGUGUCAUGUCUCUGGUGUCACAACAUUUCUGAGUGGCUAGUGCUUCUGUAUCUCUGGUUAAUACUUUAAAUAUCACCUGUCCUACAAUAUGUCUUCCUUGGGAUUUGUUCCUUCAAAUACCUGUGGAGCAGACCAGGACACAGUUCCGUAAAACUCUCCUUAACUGAUCCCAGGCCAGUCCAGGGUGCUCCAAGGAGGCUUUCUUGGGUCAGGGAGGCCUGCUGCUCUCAUGGUCGCCACAAGGACCCACUCAACCUUUCCCUUGAGUCAUAGUUGGCUGCCUCAAAGGAGAGUUUUAAUAGGCACAGGAAUGACAUCAGGGUUGAAGAAUAUUUUUGGAAGGAAGAGGCAAAUUUGCGUAAGAUUUCUGAACCAGGAAUUGCAUCUGUCAUAGAGUUUGAAUUAGAGGGAUGCUCAGAGCACAUCUGGUCUCUCUUCAUAGCCAGCACGGAACUCCUCCGUAUCGCCUCUGACAGGAGAUAGCCAGCCCCUUCUAGGCCAUGCCCACUGAUAGGGAAUUCAGCUCUUUGAAAGGAAGCCUCUUGUGUGAACCAGCAGGAGCUGAAAUCUUCCUAAACAAAUCCUUUUGUGAAUCCUUUUGUUGAGCUGAAAUCUUCCUAUACAACUCAAAUUUUGACGCCUCACCUAGAUGGAAUUGCAAAUCCAAAGACGGCCCAAGAGUAAGCAAUGACAGCUACUAAUGUGUCUGAUUUUAUCAAGUGAACCGAGAGGCUGUGAGAUCAUUCAUUCAGCCAGUUUCCCGAGUGGCUGCUAAGUGCUGGUGCCUGGUGCUGGAGACUCAGCAGGCACCUGGAAAUGGUUCUUCUCUGAGAGACUGUCCAGCCUCUUUAAGCCAGCACUAGACAACUGGGGACACCUGGGAAAUCAGAGGGGUCUAACCUUUGCUUCUGGAGCCAGUUCCAGGCUGGGGUCCAUCCUUGGGCGGGGGCCGUCCUGGGUGACUCUGGGCAGGAAGCUUCUGUCUGUGCUCCUCCUUUUCUCUACCGGUUACUAACAGCCUGGUGAGCCUGCUGAGAGCGUGGGGCUCUCAAGGUGGGCUCUCAUUGACAGACACUGAGACGAAGAGGUGGAGUUGCCAUCUCCCUCCUCACACCCUCUGAAAAUACCUGUAAGAGUCAAAUGACAUUUUGUAAUGCAUUUUGCUGAAUUAACAAUUGAACAGGCUCUUUUGUCUUUCAUAAACAAGAAAUAUUACACAAUUUAGAUAAGAAAAAGGCGGACAAUAAAAGUAUUUAUAACUUCAUCAUCUACAGGUAACAAUUUGGUGUUCGUCCAUGCCAACAUUUUUCUGAGUAUAUGUGAUAUAUCCGUGUAUGUGGGAGAUACACACACACACACACACACACGUGCUUUGUAAUCUGCCCUUUUCACCCAGUUGUUUUCCCAAUGAACACAAUUUUAAAGUGAAUCUAAUUGUUCAAGGAUCUGUCAUUAAUGC